Long non-coding RNA from Arachis stenosperma, 707 nucleotides. RefSeq lists it as uncharacterized. The record is from RefSeq and is a predicted model, not a curated record. The transcript has 3 exons. Lineage: Eukaryota; Viridiplantae; Streptophyta; Magnoliopsida; Fabales; Fabaceae.
UUCGUGGCAGCUCCAUCGCACCGCUCCUGCCAAGCCACCGCCAAGUCCUGCCGCCGAUCGGAACCCUAGCCACCGCCGUUGAAGAUGCCACCACCGCCACUGCUGUCAAUUGGGAUCAAAAUUGUUGCUGUGUUCCCAGAGCUGUCAUGGAAGUGGUUGAUUCGGUCCCAAUUCCUCCAUUGUAGAGACUAACCAUUAUGGUGGUGUUGAGGCCAUCAGGAAACUGUUAGAGCUGCUGUUGACAAGUUUGAUAUUGCUACCUCAAUUCUGGGUUGUGUUCACUUUUGAUACCCAUUCAAUUUGGAUUUUCUAUUCUGCUGUAAUUACCAUUACCGUCGUGGAUUUAUUGCCACUGCUGCCAUGAAACGAAAAGGGAAGGGGAUCGUCGCGUUUGAUUUCCUUGGAUUUCGACACUUUGAGGUAGGGGUUUGUUUCAAAGUUAACAUAUUUUGGGGUUGAAUACCUGAUGAGUUUAGUGGAUUAAUGCAAGUGAAUUAAUUUCUGUGCUGAAAAUGACUUUCUGCUGUGAUUGAAAUUGUGGCUGAAUUGAUUAUUGAUUUAUCAUUUUUUUUAGUUUCUGGCAAAAAUAAAAUGAUUGAACAGGUUGAUUUUGAACCUUGGUUUGAAAAUGAUUUUUAUUGAUUAUGCAAAAAAUGGUUUUGGAAAUGUUAAUUUGAAAUGUUGGUUUUGAUUGAGCCGAAGUUGAA